RNAcentral lists this ribosomal RNA (426 nucleotides) under uncultured bacterium. RNAcentral describes it as "bacterial SSU rRNA". It matches the Rfam family "Bacterial small subunit ribosomal RNA", at positions 356 to 774 of the family's 1533-position model. The record is from RNAcentral.
GGGGAAUUUUGGACAAUGGGCGCAAGCCUGAUCCUGCCAUGCCGCGUGCAGGAUGAAGGCCCUCGGGUUGUAAACUGCUUUUGUACGGAACGAAAAGCCUCUUUCUAAUAAAGAGGGGUGAUGACGGUACCGUAAGAAUAAGCACCGGCUAACUACGUGCCAGCAGCCGCGGUAAUACGUAGGGUGCGAGCGUUAAUCGGAAUUACUGGGCGUAAAGCGUGCGCAGGCGGUCUUGCAAGACAGUGGUGAAAUCCCCGGGCUCAACCUGGGAACUGCCAUUGUGACUGCAAGGCUGGAGUACGGCAGAGGGGGAUGGAAUUCCGCGUGUAGCAGUGAAAUGCGUAGAUAUGCGGAGGAACACCGAUGGCGAAGGCAGUCCCCUGGGCCUGUACUGACGCUCAUGCACGAAAGCGUGGGGAGCAAACA